UAGGGAAUAUUGGACAAUGGGGGCAACCCUGAUCCAGCCAUGCCGCGUGAAUGAUAAGGCCUUCGGGUUGUAAAGUUCUUUUGGUGGGGACGAUGAUGACGGUACCCACAGAAUAAGCUCCGGCUAACUUCGUGCCAGCAGCCGCGGUAAUACGAAGGGAGCUAGCGUUGUUCGGAAUUACUGGGCGUAAAGGGUGCGUAGGUGGUGCAAUUAGUCAGGUGUGAAAUCCCCGGGCUCAACCCGGGAACUGCACUUGAUACUGUUGCGCUUGAAUUCGGGAGAGGUAAGUGGAAUUCCCAGUGUAGAGGUGAAAUUCGUAGAUAUUGGGAAGAACACCCGUGGCGAAGGCGGCUUACUGGACCGACAUUGACACUGAGGCACGAAAGUGUGGGGAGCAAACAGGAUUAGAUACCCGUGUAGUCC
Molecule: ribosomal RNA, 423 nt
Filed under: uncultured bacterium
Lineage: Bacteria
Description: bacterial SSU rRNA
Rfam family: Bacterial small subunit ribosomal RNA
Source: RNAcentral